AAAGGCUUAGGAUAAACUUAGACCGAAGGCCUUCAAAGCCUUAAGCAGAUGUAUAAUCGUCUAGCCUUUG
Molecule: transfer RNA, 70 nt
Filed under: Thylacinus cynocephalus (Tasmanian wolf)
Lineage: Eukaryota; Metazoa; Chordata; Mammalia; Dasyuromorphia; Thylacinidae
Description: tRNA-Trp
Rfam family: tRNA
About the family: Transfer RNA (tRNA) molecules are approximately 80 nucleotides in length. Their secondary structure includes four short double-helical elements and three loops (D, anti-codon, and T loops). Further hydrogen bonds mediate the characteristic L-shaped molecular structure. tRNAs have two regions of fundamental functional importance: the anti-codon, which is responsible for specific mRNA codon recognition, and the 3' end, to which the tRNAs corresponding amino acid is attached (by aminoacyl-tRNA synthetases). tRNAs cope with the degeneracy of the genetic code in two manners: having more than one tRNA (with a specific anti-codon) for a particular amino acid; and 'wobble' base-pairing, i.e. permitting non-standard base-pairing at the 3rd anti-codon position.
Source: RNAcentral